CGUAGAUGAGGGCAGUAUUUCCAGGUAUUAUGGAUUAACUCUGCUACGAUUGCGAGUGAUUGAGAAUGAUGUGGAUAUUAAUACUUAAAGAAUCUAAAGAAUUAAACCAAAGCUCGUGUGUUACAGUUUCUUUGACUGGUGGAUGACAGCAGAAGUCCGUAUCCAAGCCCAUUUUCUCUCCAUCUUCCAAAGUCUGCGGCAGAUUCUGGUUCAGUGUUUCGGGAAGGAGUAAACUGGCAAUGCCUCCCGCUACGAGUAACGCUCCCAUUAUAAUUAAUGGGAGAACCAUGAUAUCCGAGCCCUUAAACCAACAUAAUCGACUAAAUAACGUAGUUAAUAGGUAAAAUAAUAUUUCGAUGAUGCAUGUUUUAUUUUAAUAAUAAUAUUAUAGAAACGGAGCUAAAAUAAUAUUGAAAGUACGUUUUUCAUACAUCGUAAUAUAACAUUUUGCUAUGGCAAAAGAGGGUGUAAGUAAAUUUAAUUAGCGA
This is a long non-coding RNA of Bombyx mori (domestic silkworm), 488 nucleotides long. RefSeq lists it as uncharacterized. NCBI's taxonomy places the organism in Eukaryota, Metazoa, Arthropoda, Insecta, Lepidoptera, Bombycidae. The record is from RefSeq and is a predicted model, not a curated record. The transcript has 2 exons.